GUGUUCUGGAGCUGGAGGGAUAGUUUGCAGCAGUUGGUGGUGUGCCAGAGCCUGUGAGACUCAGAGCUGCCAAGGCAGCUGGGGUUCUGGCCCCUGCUAGGUUCACAGCCGAAGGUGCCACCGCUGUUCUGGGGCUGGCCAAGUUCAUGGCCGCUGCUGCAGCUGGCGUUCGAGAGUCAGCCAGGUUCACUGCUGUUGGA
This 200-nucleotide long non-coding RNA is filed under the name Homo sapiens (human). Its description in RNAcentral is "HSALNT0226698". The record is from RNAcentral. Lineage: Eukaryota; Metazoa; Chordata; Mammalia; Primates; Hominidae.